This 68-nucleotide transfer RNA is filed under the name Rhabdoblatta atra. Its description in RNAcentral is "tRNA-Asp". It matches the Rfam family "tRNA". Rfam says of the family: Transfer RNA (tRNA) molecules are approximately 80 nucleotides in length. Lineage: Eukaryota; Metazoa; Arthropoda; Insecta; Blattodea; Blaberidae. The record is from RNAcentral.
GAAGAUUUAGUUAAUAGUAUAACAUUAGAUUGUCAAGCUAAAAUGAUCAAUUAUUUUGAUAUUCUUCA